GCACGAAUCCGUUCAAACCGACAAAAGACUCGUGCUCGAACAAAACGCAUGCAGAUCAAGUCUUUCUAGUCCAGGUACUCGUAGUCCUAAAAAUUAAAUACCGUGUUUUACGACUCCCUGGCAACUACCGGUGAUUGCAAUUUCUGCUCCGUUGUAUCUCAUUCUCUCAAAGGAACCAUGAGUCUCGCUUUGAGGUGUGCCCGCGCCCUGCGCCCGGCUGGGAUCCAGCUGCGCUCUCUGUCCAUCAUGGACAUCCACCAUGGAACUGGCGACUAUCAAGGUGAACUUAUUCGAACUCAAGUCAAGAAUCAUAAAGGCAAGGUUUAUGUGGAUAUUCGCAGGUACUGGGUUCCGGAGGAUUCCCCCGCAGAUGAUUUUCAGGCCACCAAGAAGGGUAUCUCUCUGAAUGUGAACCAGUUCGAGAAUCUCGCAGCAGCCAUCCCUCAACUUCGUGAGAUGAUCAAGGAGGAAUCGUAAUGUGCGAUCAGGUCUAGCUCCUGCUGUGGUCAUGCUUACUCUGGCAGGGAACCAUGGGUAGGUGUCAGCAAUGCUACACUAGCCUACAGUAUCAGCUUUGAUGUGCUCCACCCUUUGCGUUUCAUUUAUUGUAGGCUAGCGGACCCGUCGUUGUCGAUCCGUUUUUCUAUGAUUUUCAAGUGUGUGCCUAAUCUCGAUAUCGGCGCUAUCGCUGAAUCUGCUGCAAUAGUGCAAUACAUAGCCCAUAAAGUUAGGAAUAGUCCGUACGUACCUGUAUGUGUACCACAUGUAGAUUAUCGUCAUUACCAUCGUCAUUCAUUACUCCGUUGCCGUGGAAAUAAUAAAAGAUGGAAAAUGAAAUUAUGAAAAAAACA
Long non-coding RNA from Sycon ciliatum, 851 nucleotides. RefSeq lists it as uncharacterized. The transcript has 2 exons. NCBI's taxonomy places the organism in Eukaryota, Metazoa, Porifera, Calcarea, Leucosolenida, Sycettidae. The record is from RefSeq and is a predicted model, not a curated record.